CACGUAGGCGGCUUUGCAAGUCGAAUGUGAAAUCCCUCGGCUCAACCAAGGAAGUGCAUCCGAAACUGCAGAGCUUGAGUACCAAAGAGGAUCGCGGAAUUCCCGGUGUAGAGGUGAAAUUCGUAGAUAUCGGGAGGAACACCAGUGGCGAAGGCGGCGAUCUGGGUGGAUACUGACGCUGAGGUGCGAAAGCGUGGGAGCAAACA
RNAcentral lists this ribosomal RNA (206 nucleotides) under uncultured bacterium. RNAcentral's name for it is "partial 16S ribosomal RNA". It matches the Rfam family "Bacterial small subunit ribosomal RNA", at positions 568 to 774 of the family's 1533-position model. The record is from RNAcentral.